This 301-nucleotide ribosomal RNA is filed under the name uncultured bacterium. RNAcentral's name for it is "partial 16S ribosomal RNA". It matches the Rfam family "Bacterial small subunit ribosomal RNA", at positions 509 to 807 of the family's 1533-position model. The record is from RNAcentral.
CAGCCGCCACGGUAAUACGAGGGGGGCUAGCGUUGUUCGGAUUUACUGGGCGUAAAGCGCACGUAGGCGGACUUUUAAGUCAGGGGUGAAAUCCCGGGGCUCAACCCCGGAACUGCCUUUGAUACUGGAAGUCUUGAGUAUGGUAGAGGUGAGUGGAAUUCCGAGUGUAGAGGUGAAAUUCGUAGAUAUUCGGAGGAACACCAGUGGCGAAGGCGGCUCACUGGACCAUUACUGACGCUGAGGUGCGAAAGCGUGGGGAGCAAACAGGAUUAGAGACCCGCGUAGUCCCUGUCUCUUAUAC